GACGAACGCUGGCGGCGUGCCUAACACAUGCAAGUCGAACGGACAGGCCCUGCUCUUGUGGGGUUCUCGAGUGGCGAACGGGUGAGUAACACGUGAGUAUCCUGCCCCUGACUGUGGGAUAACUCCAGGAAACUGGGGCUCAUACCGGAUAGGAUCUCUUGCUGCAUGGGGGGGGUUGGAAAGUUUCGGUGGUUGGGGCUGGACUGGCGGCGUAUCAGCUUGUUGGUGGGGUAGUGGCUUACCCAGCCUUUGACGGGUAGGCGGCCUGAGAGGGUGACCGGCCACAUUGGGACUGAGAUACGGCCCAGACUCCUACGGGAGGCAGCAGUGGGGAAUAUUGCACGAUGGGCGGAAGCCUGAUGAAGCAACGCCGCGUGCGGGAUGACGGCCUUCGGGUUGUAAACCGCUUUCGCCUGUGACGAAGCGUGAGUGACGGUAAUGGGUAAAGAAGCACCGGCUAACUACGUG
Molecule: ribosomal RNA, 468 nt
Filed under: uncultured bacterium
Lineage: Bacteria
Description: partial 16S ribosomal RNA
Rfam family: Bacterial small subunit ribosomal RNA
Source: RNAcentral